CCUCAGCCUUCUCUUCUCCAGGCUGAAGAGUCCCAGCUCUCUCAGCCUUUCCUCAGCAGGGAGAUGCUCCAAUCCCUCCAUCAUCUCUGUUGCCCUACGCUGGACUCUCUCCAGUAGUUCCCUGGGGGGCCCUCCGUGCCUGGCCCUUUGCUGCGUCCCACAUACAGCCCUGCCGUGUGCCCACUUUGUCCUCCUGGCAGCCAUUUCACCCACCCGCUCUCCCUGCACUGCCCUUUCUUCCUGGGGAGGGGGUUUGCUGCACCCAGAGCAGCCUCUGUCCCUGUCCCUGUCCCGCAGGGUGGCUCCGCACCUCUGGACCUUGCUCCCCAACAAGCGCUGUCGGCAGGUCCUGGACGUCUGCUCCCCUGGCUGUCCCUGGCAGCGGGUGGGGGACGGUGGGAUGCUGCCCCGGCCACUGCAGCGGCAGGGAUGGCACCCACAGAGCUGCAGGCCAGGUAUCACAUGGCAAGAAGGCCAAUGGCAUCCUGGGGUGCAUCAAGAAGAGUGUGACCAGCAGGUGGAGGGAGGUCAUCCUGCCCCUCUGCUCUGCCCUGGGGAGGCCCCAUCUGGAGCACUGGGUCCAGUUCUGGGCUCCCCAGUUCCAGAAGGACAGGGAACUGCUGGAGAGGGUGCAGCAGAGGGCUACAGAGAUGAUUAGGGGUCUGGAAGAUCUCUCCUACGAUGAAAGGCUGAGGGACUUGGGUCUUUUGAGUGUGGAGAAGAGAAGGUUGAGGGGGGAUCUGAUCAACACCUAUAAAUACUUCAAGGGUGGGUGUCAGGAGGAUGGGGCCAGUCUUUUUUCAGUGGUGCCCUGGGACAGGACAAGAGGAAAUGGGUACAACAUAGGAAGUUCCACCUAAACAUGAGGAGGAACUUCUUUGCUGUGAGGGUGGCAGAGCCCUGGCAGAGGCUGCCCAGAGAGGUGGUGGAGUCUCCUUCUCUGGAGACAUUCAAACCCCACCUGGACACGUUCCUGUGGGACCUUCUCUGGGUGGCCCUGCUUUGGCAGGGGGUUGGACUAGAUGAUCUCCAGAGGUCCCUUCCAACCCCGUAUCACAC
This 1059-nucleotide long non-coding RNA is filed under the name Calidris pygmaea (Spoon-billed sandpiper). RNAcentral describes it as "lncRNA (ENSCPGG00000005357.1)". The record is from RNAcentral. Lineage: Eukaryota; Metazoa; Chordata; Aves; Charadriiformes; Scolopacidae.